UGAGGAAUAUUGGUCAAUGGACGAGAGUCUGAACCAGCCAAGUAGCGUGCAGGGUGACGGCCCUAUGGGUUGUAAACUGCUUUUAUAUGGGGAUAAAGUGGGGAACGUGUUCCCUUUUGCAGGUACCAUAUGAAUAAGGACCGGCUAAUUCCGUGCCAGCAGCCGCGGUAAUACGGAAGGUUCGGGCGUUAUCCGGAUUUAUUGGGUUUAAAGGGAGCGUAGGCCGUUUGGUAAGCGUGUUGUGAAAUGUAGGAGCUCAACUUCUAGAUUGCAGCGCGAACUGUCAGACUUGAGUGCGCACAACGUAGGCGGAAUUCAUGGUGUAGCGGUGAAAUGCUUAGAUAUCAUGAAGAACUCCGAUUGCGAAGGCAGCUUACGGGAGCGCAACUGACGCUGAAGCUCGAAGGUGCGGGUAUCGAACAGG
This 424-nucleotide ribosomal RNA is filed under the name Verrucomicrobiota bacterium. Its description in RNAcentral is "Verrucomicrobia bacterium partial 16S ribosomal RNA". It matches the Rfam family "Bacterial small subunit ribosomal RNA", at positions 355 to 776 of the family's 1533-position model. The record is from RNAcentral. Lineage: Bacteria; Pseudomonadati; Verrucomicrobiota.